GGAAUUUUCCGCAAUGGGCGAAAGCCUGACGGAGCAAUACCGCGUGAGGGAUGACGGCCUGUGGGCUGUAAACCUCUUUUUUCAGGGAGGAAGUUCUGACGUGUACCUGAAGAAUAAGCAUCGGCUAACUCCGUGCCAGCAGCCGCGGUAAGACGGAGGAUGCAAGUGUUAUCCGGAAUCACUGGGCGUAAAGCGUCUGUAGGUGGUUUAGUAAGUCAAAUGUUAAAUCUUGAAGCUCAACUUCAAACUCGCAUUUGAAACUAUUAGACUUGAGUAUAGUAGAGGUAAAGGGAAUUUCCAGUGGAGCGGUGAAAUGCGUAGAUAUUGGAAAGAACACCAAUUGCGAAGGCACUUUACUGGGCUAUUACUGACACUCAGAGACGAAAGCUAGGGUAGCAAAUGGGAUUAGAUACCCCAGUAUC
RNAcentral lists this ribosomal RNA (422 nucleotides) under uncultured eukaryotic phytoplankton. RNAcentral's name for it is "bacterial SSU rRNA". It matches the Rfam family "Bacterial small subunit ribosomal RNA", at positions 358 to 794 of the family's 1533-position model. The record is from RNAcentral.